Molecule: long non-coding RNA, 722 nt
Filed under: Gallus gallus (chicken)
Lineage: Eukaryota; Metazoa; Chordata; Aves; Galliformes; Phasianidae
Description: lncRNA (ENSGALG00010014741.1)
Source: RNAcentral
UGGAAACGUUCCAGACAAAGAGAUCAAGGCCUGUGCAGCAGUAGGGCGGAUGCAUGGGGAGGGAGCCCCAUGCCUGGAUGCAGGUGGCAGACUCUGGCACCAGACUUAUAGGAGCAGCUGGAGGCUGAAAAAAGUACGGCGUCUGGCACCCUGUGGCAGACCCCAAACAGAUGAGGAGAGAUCACCUUAAACCAACUGCCUACUCACCUGGGUUGCAGCCACCCUAAGCCCUGUACCCCUGGCACCAGCACAAGUUUAGGGGAGAGACCUUCACUUCUUGCUCUGCCUCUGUGGGAAAGAAUCACUCCGGGUUUCAGAGGUGUUUCUUGUGACCACGAGGACAAGCAUCAGCCGAGACAUUGGAGGCACCAGUGCUGCUCCGCUGGGCAGAGGCCCAUCCUUUCAUGGCUGGCAGGAAUGACAAAAGAAGUGAGGAGUCCUUCCCCUUGUGAACACCAGGAGGUGGCGGCUGCUGAGAGGAAAGCCCAUUCAUGAUACUGAACCUGCUUCAGUAACUGAUACACGGGAUACUGAACCUGCUUCCACUGCUGUUCCACCUUCAUGACGUCAGCCCUGGGUCUGCCACGUUCUUCACCAAUGAAGCACAUCCUUACCGUGGUCCAAUGAAGCACAUCCUUACUGUGGUCCUGGAGGGAAGAGGGGUGUCCUGGUGGGGUGGACUCCACUCAGGGCCCUGCCACACACCUGCACCCCAGGCAGUA